GUUGAAACACCUGUUCUCGUAAGAUCACAGAAGUUAAGCAAUGUUGGGCUUCGUUAGUACUUAGAUGGGUGACCCCUUGGGAAUAACAGG
Acanthosepion pharaonis is the source of this 90-nucleotide non-coding RNA. The record is from the annotation of a GenBank genome assembly. Lineage: Eukaryota; Metazoa; Mollusca; Cephalopoda; Sepiida; Sepiidae.